Molecule: ribosomal RNA, 320 nt
Filed under: uncultured Acidovorax sp.
Lineage: Bacteria; Pseudomonadati; Pseudomonadota; Betaproteobacteria; Burkholderiales; Comamonadaceae
Description: bacterial SSU rRNA
Rfam family: Bacterial small subunit ribosomal RNA
Source: RNAcentral
UCAGCUCGUGUCGUGAGAUGUUGGUUAGUCCGCAACGAGCGCAACCCUUGUCAUUAGUUGCUACAUUCAGUUGGGCACUCUAAUGAGACUGCCGGUGACAAACCGGAGGAAGGUGGGGAUGACGUCAAGUCCUCAUGGCCCUUAUAGUGGGGCUACACACGUCAUACAAUGGAUGGUACAAAGGGCCGCCAACCCGCAGGGGGAGCCAAUCCCAUAAAGCCAUUCGUAGUCCGGAUCGCAGUCUGCAACUCGACUGCGUGAAGUCGGAAUCGCUAGUAAUCGUGGAUCAGAAUGUCACGGUGAAUACGUUCCCGGGUCUU